This 548-nucleotide ribosomal RNA is filed under the name uncultured Prochlorococcus sp. RNAcentral describes it as "bacterial SSU rRNA". It matches the Rfam family "Bacterial small subunit ribosomal RNA", at positions 58 to 653 of the family's 1533-position model. Lineage: Bacteria; Bacillati; Cyanobacteriota; Cyanophyceae; Synechococcales; Prochlorococcaceae. The record is from RNAcentral.
CAAGUCGAACGAACCUUUGGGUUAGUGGCGGACGGGUGAGUAACGCGUGGGAAUCUGCCCUCAGGAGGGGGAUAACGGUUGGAAACGACCGCUAAUACCCCAUAUGCCGAAAGGUGAAAUGAAUUUCGCCUGAGGAUGAGCCCGCGUCUGAUUAGCUAGUUGGUAGGGUAAUGGCUUACCAAGGCUUCGAUCAGUAGCUGGUCUGAGAGGAUGAUCAGCCACACUGGGACUGAGACACGGCCCAGACUCCUACGGGAGGCAGCAGUGGGGAAUUUUCCGCAAUGGGCGAAAGCCUGACGGAGCAACGCCGCGUGAGGGACGAAGGCCUCUGGGCUGUAAACCUCUUUUCUCAAGGAAGAAGAUAUGACGGUACUUGAGGAAUAAGCCACGGCUAAUUCCGUGCCAGCAGCCGCGGUAAUACGGGAGUGGCAAGCGUUAUCCGGAAUUAUUGGGCGUAAAGCGUCCGCAGGCGGCCUUCCAAGUCUGCUGUUAAAGCGUGGAGCUUAACUCCAUUAUGGCAGUGGAAACUGUAAGGCUUGAGUAUGGUA